CCCUGCUGUCCCUGCCACCCCUCAGAGGGCCUUCCCCCUCCAUGUGCCAGCAGGGCACCUGGACCCCAGCCCAGGGGCUGUGUUUAUUUAUUUCAUCCCAGCCAGGGGUCACUCCACGCUGUCCCUGCCUCCCCUCGGGUGUCACCUCUGUGCCCCAUCAGCUCAGCCACCAGGGCACUCCUGCCUGGGAUCCUCCCACGUUUUUGGGGGCUUGAGGAGCUCGAGGGCAGCUUGAAGCCAUCCUUAGGGCUGUGUCAUCUGGAGGCCUUGCAGUAACACAGCAGAGCUGCUGUGCCCCAGAGAAGUGUGGCUUUUCCUUUCUGAAGGGCCACAGAAUGCUCCCUGAGCUCCAGAGCUGCUGGCUGUGCUGUGGUCACCUCGCCAAGGAUGGACACAGGUCUCAAAUUGGAUGGAGAGGCUACUUUUGCAAGUAGAACAUGAAUUUUCUUCUUUCUUUGCCCCUGACAUUGUAAGGGGAGAAGCCAGUUUUGUACUUCCAAGGCAGUGAACACCCUCACCCCAUAAGAGCAUUUUGUAGGUUGUUUGACUCGUCUGCAAGUGGGAUGCUGUUUAUUCAGCCCAGAGUUCUCCUGGCUCUGGCACUUCUCAAGUGACAACAUCAAAAGGCCCAGAUCUCACUGUAUUUUUUUGCUUUUCUGUUUUUUUUUUUUCCCCUCCUAGGCACACAGCCCACCCUGAAAAUCUGGGGUGCUUAAAAUGUCUUGAAAAUUGUGAUUUAAAGUAGGGCAACACAAAAUGAGACCUAACUUUCCUUUUGAUUUGUGUCAAUUCCUUCCACUUCUGGCUCUGUGUGCACUGGGGAUGUUUUUGGGUCUGUUUUCAAAAGUAAACUUAAGCCUCCAGCACUGCAUUCAUGUCAGCCUUUUCCACUUCCCCAUGUGGAGAUUUAUUCCAAUAGAAAAGACUUUGUUUUGCUUCUGUCAGUGGGUAGACCAAAAAUGCAUCCUUCACUGGAAUAAAAUUACUCCAUGGGCCAGUUAUGCCCCUGUUGUGUAACUGAUCAGGAGCAGAGGGGCUGACGAAACAUUUAUGGUUGAACACAAUAAAACAGAGAAGGUUUCAAAGAGAAAUGACAUUUUUAGGCCAGUCUAACAUGUUGGUCCCACCGAUCUCAACACAGAUCUGCAGCUGGCAGCUCUGACUUGCAGCAUUAGUUGAGCUCCAGCUUUUCCUCACCCCUCUGGCUCUUAAAAACUCUUAAACUCUUUAACUCUUAGAAAGCUCAUGUGAUGCUCAGGGGGCUGGGAGUGCAGGGUGCCUGGCAGGGAUGUGGGGCCGUGUCCCCCGGCGGAGCCUCUCCAGCCGCGCUCUGGUUUCUCUCACCCGCCGGCCAACAGCAAUUGUGUGGCUUUUCAGCUGCUUUUUUUCCUUCUCUCCAGUGAACAUGUGUUUCCAAUAUCCGAGCAAGCCUGGCCUUUGGAGGCUGCUGUUGCUGAGCCCUGUGCUGAUCCUCCUUCCCCCCAGCCUGGCUGAGCUGUCCCUGCUGCCACCAGCUCACCCGUCCCCUCCUGCCACCUGAGGGGCAAACCCCACCGGGAGGGGGAAGUUGAUUGUAACAGUUCUGGUUCCUUUUUCUCUCUGCCAAGGUCAGGAUAAAUAACAUGGGAAAGGUAGAUUUUGAGUUCAGACUUGGAAUUUUUAUUAUCUCUUAUCUGUUUGCAGUAUUUACAGAUUCACGCACCGUGAGCUCUUAGAAAAUGAGGGUAAAAUGGAGAGUUUCUAACUCUUUCCAAGGUUAUUGAAGUGAUAAAUCCCCAAUAAGUGAUACCUAUAUUAUUUAUGUUCUUGACCCAAUAAUGACCACCCAAGGCCCGCAAUGUGGACCUUUUUCACCUAAUUACAGAAAACCACCCAAACCCAUGAAGGGAUGGAAGAAGGUGAAGAAGAAACACAAAGGCAACACCCAAAAUCCUCCAUCUUAACUCACACAUAUUACUAUAUACUAAAACCUUAAAUCUAAGUUUCUAGGACUCCAAAAGUUGAUGGGAAAUUUUGCUUCUCUGAGAACUCAAGCAGGCAUUUGGGUUUCAUUCUGCUCUCUUGGGAAGUCCAAAUUGUGUUUUUCCUUCAUUGUGGACAGGCUUUCCCCAGCACAUAGACACAAAAGGUGACGGGGCCACCUCUCCUGCAGGGUGAUGUUGCUGUGACAGUGCUGUAGCAGAGGAUCCUGUGUGGGAGCCUUGUCCUGGGGCUGUCACACACAACUGGGGUGCAGUUUGUGCCCUACCUGAGGCAGCAGGGCCAUGGACCCUCGCAGCAGGGUAUGGGAAGGGCAUUGAGUCCUUGCUGUGGUGCCUCUGUCUUCUCCAGGAGGUGACUGAGAGGAUGGCAGUGGGCUCAUUCCAGACAGGCUCCUGCCUGGACCCUGGCACCUCCAGGAUUCCUUUCCAAGGCAUCACCUGCUCACCUGUGCUGCGUGUCCCCAUCACCUUCACAGCCACCAAGGGGGACCUGCAGCAACCGGAGGUGUCCCAGGGAGGGUUUUCUCCUGGUUUGGGACCCUCAGCAGUUACAACACCUUCAGGGAGGACUGAGGAGCAGGGGGGAUGAUGGCCAGGUGCCUUCCUGGCACCUGGUCCCCAGGGACCAGCCCUGGGGACAUUGUCACCAGCUGCAGGGAACCCCAGUGGCACCAUCCCCACGCUGCCCUGGCCAUCCCCGGUGCUGGGUGCUGCCCUCCUGGGGAGCUGCUGCUGGUGGUGAGGGUGGACAUGGCUCAGGACUCCCUGGGGAUGCUGCAGGCAGCUGGGUUAACCCUGCCAGAGCUGGGGUGAGAGCUUGCUUUUUUCUAAAUUUAAAGGAGUGAGGGAUAAAAUCAAAGUUGGUGCAGAGAGUCAGAGGCCGGAGCAGAGGAUUGCUUGGCUCUGCUCCAGUCUGGCCCUCCCAUCCUGGCAGCUCCAGGGUUAAUCAGCAGAGAAGUUUCUGCUGCAUGAGGGAGUUCUCAAGGGAGUUCAGGGCAGGUUUUGCAGCUCACACACACAGCCUGCAGCACUCCCAUGUAACCAUGCCCGAGGAUGGCCCUGGCAGGGGCUUCCAGCUCUGCCACCCAAAAAAUAUCCCUGCUCUGACCCGUGCAGAGCUCUGUUCAGCUCAGGAAUGGCUCUGGAGCUCUGCCUGGCCUCUACCAGAGCUGGUGGCUCAGGAAUUGCCACCCAUCCCUGUUUCCCCUCUGGCUGCCCCUCUCAGGUGCCCAGCAGCUCCCUGGAGCAGGUGGUGGGGCUGGGUGGCUGCUGGGGCCUCGCUGGUGUUUGCUCAACACACAGCUCCAAUUCCUGCUGUGGGUUUGAGCUGGGGCACAACCAAAAGGAAAUAACUUUGCAGCUCACUGUGGAUUUUGAUUCCUGUAACAGCAUUUCAGGGGAACCAGCAGGAGUGAGCCUGUGCUGAGAUCCUGUCUGUGCACUGUGGCAGAAUAAAUAACGUGUGUGCUGGGCACCACAGUGUGUGCCCAGCCCUGGCAAGGUGUGCCCAGCCCUGGCAAGGUGUGCCCAGCCCUGGCAAGGUGUGCCCAGGUGCACAGCCAAGCCCAGGAGGGGCUGAGGGAACAAGCAGCACCAGCUGGAGUGGCUGGAGCCCGUUCUGCACCUCCUGCUCCAGCCCAUCCACUCCCCUCUGAGCUCCUCCACCCCUCCCAGCAGAGCCCAGAAUGUGAGUUAUAAGUUAAUAAUAUCAGGGCCCAUUUGGGGAAGGGGAAGAAAAUAGGUUUAUUUUUUUUCUUGAGCAUUCUCUUCUAUGAUGUGCUCAGAGCAAAUAGCACUUGUCACCACCUAAUCCAUUUUCCUUCGGUGUCUUCACACGAAUGGGAUGUUUAGCUACAGGCAGACAUUGUUCUUAGUGGAAAGGUUCACUUUCUUUUACAUAAUUAAGGUUUUGUGGAAACCAAAACCCCUACCUACCUAGGAUAAGUUGAUAGAAUAUCUAGAAACUUGCAGAAAACCCUAAAAACACAGAGUUUGCUCUGCUGGGGAGUCCCUUGGUGGUCUCAGGGUGGUGCAGGGGGGUCACCUCUGUGGAUGAGGCACUGUCAGGAGCCCAUGGGAGCAGGAGGUUGUGUCAGAGGUGCCUGGGUGGGUACAGAUGGACACAGCAGGGGCGUGGGCAGGCUCUGGCUCUGCCUCCUCUCCACUGUGGCAUCCUCGGCAUCCUCCGGAUGUGUGAGGGAUCUGAGGGAUGGGAACUGAGCUUUUCACAUGUAGAUUGAGCUGAAACUCCAAACACAGUCUGCCUGGCUGUGGAUUGCUCUGCAUUUGCUCUGUGUGCAUCCUGGUCUUUAAAGGAAAAGCUGAUGAAAGAGGCAGGAACACAGGCUCAGUGGGGAAGAAGCUUUUAGAGGAGAAAAAUUGUUUGGAAAAUAGCAAAGAGAGAGGAGGGGAAAGAAUUCUGCUGGGAAGGGAGCAUUACUGCAUUGCUUCCUUGGAGGUCUGGGAAAUACAUUAUGCAGAGCUCCAAACAAUGUUUGCCAGCAGCAAGUCAGCUUAGAUGUGUCCAUGGGGGGUUCCUUGUGUUUUUUUCUAUUCUUUUUUCCCUUUAAUAGCCAAAAUCUCUCUUUCCUGGGGCCCAGGGUGAUCUGUGACCCUGUGUUUGUGUUAGGACCUCGUUUAUCCCUGUGCUAACGAUGUGCUGGGGGCUGUGUGUGUUUUGUUGGGGUGUGGGGACAGGACUCACCUGGCACAGUGCAGCUCCACCCCUGGCAGAGGGGAUGACCAGGGCAGGGUUCAGGGGGGUCACCAGUGCUGGGUGCCCUGGGGCAGCCUUGAGCUGCUGUUUUCAGAUCAGCUGGAGCUGAGUGGGUCUGUCUGGGGCUGAAUGUCCCUCCCUCAGCACUGGAGCCAGGCAGAGGUGUCCCCAUGGGUUGGGGACGCUGCCUGAUGGCUGCUGAGGGGCAGGAUCAGCCCCUUCCCCUCUGCACUCCUGUGUCUGGGGCUGCAGGGAUCUCUGAGCCCUUUGUAGGGCCUGAGGAGACCCUGCUGGGGUUUGGCUUGAGUCUGUUGGCAGUGGGUGCUCUCUUGUCCCUUCAGUGAGGCUCAUUCCAGACAGGCUCCUGCCCCAAAGGUGAUCCUGGCACCUCCAGGAUUCCUUUCCAAGGCAUCACCUGCUCACCUGUGCUGUUUGUCCCUGUCACCUUCAGAGCCACCGAGGGGGACCUGCAGCAACUGGAGGCGUCCCAGGGAGGGUUUUCUCCUGGUUUGGGACCCUCAGCAG
Long non-coding RNA from Prinia subflava (tawny-flanked prinia), 5223 nucleotides. RefSeq lists it as uncharacterized. The transcript is spliced from 2 exons. NCBI's taxonomy places the organism in Eukaryota, Metazoa, Chordata, Aves, Passeriformes, Cisticolidae. The record is from RefSeq and is a predicted model, not a curated record.